Molecule: non-coding RNA, 294 nt
Organism: Paramuricea clavata
Lineage: Eukaryota; Metazoa; Cnidaria; Anthozoa; Malacalcyonacea; Plexauridae
Source: the annotation of a GenBank genome assembly
CGGAUCUAAAUUGUGAAUUUUCCAUUUUUAGAAAAUUAUAUCGAACAACCUUAAGACUUAGGUGUUUAAAAUCACUUUCCAAUAGAUAAAAAUCGACCUCUAUGUAUGGUAUAGCGUCCAACAUGCAGUUAACUGUUGUAGAAGUGAGUUUUUAUGGACUUUUUACCGUUAUUGAAUCAUGAAUGAAUAGUGGAUUUUGAAUUAGUUUAAUUAGAGGAAUAUUUCUGGUAGAAAUAUGAAUACUUGGAACAAAAAAUGUAUAUUUCGGAAAUAUUGAGGCCGAAGGAAUAUGAC